Molecule: non-coding RNA, 35 nt
Organism: Myotis brandtii (Brandt's bat)
Lineage: Eukaryota; Metazoa; Chordata; Mammalia; Chiroptera; Vespertilionidae
Source: Rfam
CUGUCUCUUGCUUCAACAGUGUUUGGAUCAAACAG